This 59-nucleotide transfer RNA is filed under the name Thioalkalivibrio denitrificans. It matches the Rfam family "tRNA", at positions 7 to 64 of the family's 71-position model. From Rfam's summary of the family: Transfer RNA (tRNA) molecules are approximately 80 nucleotides in length. Their secondary structure includes four short double-helical elements and three loops (D, anti-codon, and T loops). Further hydrogen bonds mediate the characteristic L-shaped molecular structure. tRNAs have two regions of fundamental functional importance: the anti-codon, which is responsible for specific mRNA codon recognition, and the 3' end, to which the tRNAs corresponding amino acid is attached (by aminoacyl-tRNA synthetases). tRNAs cope with the degeneracy of the genetic code in two manners: having more than one tRNA (with a specific anti-codon) for a particular amino acid; and 'wobble' base-pairing, i.e. permitting non-standard base-pairing at the 3rd anti-codon position. Lineage: Bacteria; Pseudomonadati; Pseudomonadota; Gammaproteobacteria; Chromatiales; Ectothiorhodospiraceae. The record is from Rfam by way of RNAcentral.
UUAGCUCAGUUGGUAGAGCAGGAGACUUUUAAUCUCUUGGUCGUAGGUUCUUAUCUGUA